AACUGAUACUACCUGCGGGAACCUGCGGAGGGAUCAUUACUGAGUGAGGGCCCUCUGGGUCCAACCUCCCACCCGUGUUUAACGAACCUUGUUGCUUCGGCGGGCCCGCCUCACGGCCGCCGGGGGGCAUCCGCCCCCGGGCCCGCGCCCGCCGAAGCCACCUGUGAACGCUGUCUGAAGUUGCAGUCUGAGAAAAUUAUUAAAUUAAUUAAAACUUUUAACAAUGGAUCUCUAGAUCGG
This 240-nucleotide unclassified non-coding RNA is filed under the name soil metagenome. Its description in RNAcentral is "partial contains 5.8S ribosomal RNA, internal transcribed spacer 2, and large subunit ribosomal RNA". The record is from RNAcentral.